RNAcentral lists this small RNA (292 nucleotides) under Mycolicibacterium grossiae. Its description in RNAcentral is "Mycobacterium grossiae 5' ureB small RNA". It matches the Rfam family "5' ureB small RNA". The record is from Rfam by way of RNAcentral. Lineage: Bacteria; Bacillati; Actinomycetota; Actinomycetes; Mycobacteriales; Mycobacteriaceae.
CGGACAUGAUCUGCGGGCAGAUGAGGUGGACGUGGCAGUCGAUCGCACCGGCGGUGAGGAUGCGGCCGUUGCCGGCGAUGAUCUCGGUGGACGGGCCGACGACCAGGUCCGGGUGCACGCCCGACAUGACGUCGGGGUUGCCGGCCUUGCCGAUCGCGACGAUCCGCCCGUCGCGGAUGCCGACGUCGGCCUUGACGAUGCCCCAGUAGUCCAGGAUCACCGCACCGGUGAUGACGGUGUCGGGGGCGCCGUCGGCGCGGGUGGCGCGCGACUGGCCCAUCGAUUCCCGCAG